CCCUUAGAUGUUCUGGGCCGCACGCGCGCUACACUGAUGCAUUCAACGAGUUUUUCCUGGUCCGAGAGGAAUGGGUAACCUUUUGAAAGUGCAUCGUGCUAGGGAUAGACUAUUGCAAUUAUUGGUCUUCAACGAGGAAUUCCUAGUAGACGUAGUUCAUCAGACUGCAUCGAUUACGUCCCUGCCCUUUGUACACACCGCCCGUCGCUCCUACCGAUUGGAUGAUCCGGUGAGCUAUUCGGACCUUCGCUUCGUCGAUUUUCGGCUUUGUGAGGGAGAGUCUCGCGAACCUUAUCAUCUAGAGGAAGGAGAAGUCGUAACA
This 322-nucleotide ribosomal RNA is filed under the name uncultured eukaryote. RNAcentral's name for it is "partial 18S ribosomal RNA". It matches the Rfam family "Eukaryotic small subunit ribosomal RNA", at positions 1470 to 1796 of the family's 1831-position model. The record is from RNAcentral.